CGAAAGCCUGACGGAGCAACGCCGCGUGCGGGAGGACGGCCUGUGGGUUGUAAACCUCUUUUCUCAGGGAAGAAGCUCUGACGGUACCUGAGGAAUCAGCCUCGGCUAACUCCGUGCCAGCAGCCGCGGUAAUACGGAGGAGGCAAGCGUUAUCCGGAAUUAUUGGGCGUAAAGCGUCCGCAGGUGGCGAUUCAAGUCUGCUGUCAAAGCACGGGGCUUAACUCCGUAAAGGCAGUGGAAACUGAAUAGCUAGAGUGCCGUAGGGGUAGAGGGAAUUCCCGGUGUAGCGGUGAAAUGCGUAGAUAUUGGGAAGAACACCAGUGGCGAAGGCGCUCUACUGGGCCACAACUGACGCUGAGGGACGAAAGCUAGGGGAGCG
RNAcentral lists this ribosomal RNA (379 nucleotides) under uncultured cyanobacterium. Its description in RNAcentral is "bacterial SSU rRNA". It matches the Rfam family "Bacterial small subunit ribosomal RNA", at positions 376 to 770 of the family's 1533-position model. Lineage: Bacteria; Bacillati; Cyanobacteriota. The record is from RNAcentral.